AGCGGAGUAGAGCAACUAGGUAGCUCGCAAGGCUCAUAACCUUGAGGUUACAGGUUCAAAUCCUGUCUCCGCCA
This is a non-coding RNA of Klebsormidium nitens, 74 nucleotides long. Lineage: Eukaryota; Viridiplantae; Streptophyta; Klebsormidiophyceae; Klebsormidiales; Klebsormidiaceae. The record is from Rfam.